GUUUGAUCAUGGCUCAGAGUGAACGCUGGCGGCGUGCUUAACACAUGCAAGUCGAACGAGAACGGUCCUUCGGGAUGUCAGCUAAGUGGCGGAUGGGUGAGUAAUGUAUAGUUAAUCUGCCCUUUAGAGGGGGAUAACAGUUGGAAACGACUGCUAAUACCCCAUACUCCUUUUACAUUAAUUGUAAUUGGGAAACGUUUUUUCGCUAAAGGAUGAGACUAUAUGGUAUCAGGUAGUUGGUGGGGUAAGAGCCCACCAAGCCAAUGACGCCUAGCUGGUCUGAGAGGAUGAUCAGCCACACUGGAACUGAGACACGGUCCAGACUCCUACGGGAGGCAGCAGUGGGGAAUAUUGCACAAUGGAGGAAACUCUGAUGCAGCAACGCCGCGUGGAGGAUGACGCAUUUCGGUGUGUAAACUCCUUUUAUAUGGGAAGAUAAUGACGGUACCAUAUGAAUAAGCACCGGCUAACUCCGUGCCAGCAGCCGCGGUAAUACGGAGGGUGCAAGCGUUACUCGGAAUCACUGGGCGUAAAGCGCGCGCAGGCGGCCUUUUAAGUUGGAUGUGAAAGCCUACGGCUCAACCGUAGAACUGCAUCCAAAACUAUUGGGCUAGAGUGUGGGAGAGGAAGAUGGAAUUAGUUGUGUAGGGGUAAAAUCCGUAGAGAUAACUAGGAAUACCAAAAGCGAAGGCAAUCUUCUGGAACAUUACUGACGCUGAGGCGCGAAAGCGUGGGGAGCAAACAGGAUUAGAUACCCUGCUAGUCCACGCCCUAAACGAUGAAUGUUAGUCGGCCGGGUAGCUAGUCUAUUCGGUGAUGCAGCUAAACGCAUUAAACAUUCCGCCUGGGGAGUACGGUCGCAAGAUUAAAACUCAAAGGAAUAGACGGGCGACCCGCACCAAGUUGGUGGAGCAUGUUGUUUAAUUCGGAAGAAUACGCGAAGAAACCGUAACCUAGCCUGACAUAUAUUAGAACACUUUUAGAAGAUAGAGGUGGGUGCCUUCGGGACCUUUUAUACCGGUGCUGCACGGCUGUCGUCAGCUCGAGUCAUGAAAAGUUGGGUUAAGUCCGCAAAGGACGC
RNAcentral lists this ribosomal RNA (1081 nucleotides) under uncultured bacterium. RNAcentral's name for it is "bacterial SSU rRNA". It matches the Rfam family "Bacterial small subunit ribosomal RNA", at positions 11 to 1099 of the family's 1533-position model. The record is from RNAcentral.